This 1394-nucleotide ribosomal RNA is filed under the name metagenome. RNAcentral describes it as "bacterial SSU rRNA". It matches the Rfam family "Bacterial small subunit ribosomal RNA". The record is from RNAcentral.
AGAGUUUGAUCCUGGCUCAGGAUGAACGCUGGCGGCGUGCUUAACACAUGCAAGCCGAACGAUCCUUCGGGAUAGUGGCGGACGGGUGAGUAACGCGUGGGAAUCUGCCCUCAGGAGGGGGAUAACGGCUGGAAACGGCCGCUAAUACCCCAUAUGCCGAGAGGUGAAACGAAUUUCGCCUGAGGAUGAGCCCGCGUCUGAUUAGCUAGUUGGUGGGGUAAAGGCCCACCAAGGCGACGAUCAGUAGCUGGUCUGAGAGGAUGAUCAGCCACACUGGGACUGAGACACGGCCCAGACUCCUACGGGAGGCAGCAGUGGGGAAUUUUCCGCAAUGGGCGAAAGCCUGACGGAGCAACGCCGCGUGAGGGAUGAAGGCCUCUGGGCUGUAAACCUCUUUUCUCAAGGAAGAAGACCUGACGGUACUUGAGGAAUAAGCCACGGCUAAUUCCGUGCCAGCAGCCGCGGUAAUACGGGAGUGGCAAGCGUUAUCCGGAAUUAUUGGGCGUAAAGCGUCCGCAGGCGGCCUUGUAAGUCUGUUGUUAAAGCGUGGAGCUUAACUCCAUUUAAGCAAUGGAAACUACAAGGCUGGAGUGUGGUAGGGGCAGAGGGAAUUCCCGGUGUAGCGGUGAAAUGCGUAGAUAUCGGGAAGAACACCAGUGGCGAAGGCGCUCUGCUGGGCCAUAACUGACGCUCAUGGACGAAAGCCAGGGGAGCGAAAGGGAUUAGAUACCCCUGUAGUCCUGGCCGUAAACGAUGAACACUAGGUGUCGGGGGAAUCGACCCCCUCGGUGUCGUAGCCAACGCGUUAAGUGUUCCGCCUGGGGAGUACGCACGCAAGUGUGAAACUCAAAGGAAUUGACGGGGGCCCGCACAAGCGGUGGAGUAUGUGGUUUAAUUCGAUGCAACGCGAAGAACCUUACCAGGGUUUGACAUCCUGCGAACCCCUGAGAAAUCGGGGGGUGCCUUCGGGAGCGCAGAGACAGGUGGUGCAUGGCUGUCGUCAGCUCGUGUCGUGAGAUGUUGGGUUAAGUCCCGCAACGAGCGCAACCCACGUCUUUAGUUGCCAGCAUUCAGUUGGGCACUCUAGAGAGACCGCCGGUGAUAAACCGGAGGAAGGUGUGGAUGACGUCGAGUCAUCAUGCCCCUUACAUCCUGGGCUACACACGUACUACAAUGCUACGGACAAAGGGCAGCAAGCUCGCGAGAGUUAGCAAAUCCCAUAAACCGUGGCUCAGUUCAGAUCGUAGGCUGCAACUCGCCUACGUGAAGGAGGAAUCGCUAGUAAUCGCAGGUCAGCAUACUGCGGUGAAUACGUUCCCGGGCCUUGUACACACCGCCCGUCACACCAUGGAAGUUGGCCAUGCCCGAAGUCGUUACUCCAACCCUUGUGGAGG